AGAGUUUGAUCAUGGCUCAGAUUGAACGCUGGCGGCAGGCUUAACACAUGCAAGUCGAGCGGUAACAGGAGAAGCUUGCUUCUCGCUGACGAGCGGCGGACGGGUGAGUAACGCGUAGGAAUCUGCCUAGCAGUGGGGGAUAGCCCGGAGAAAUCCGGAUUAAUACCGCAUACGCCCUUCGGGGGAAAGAAGGCCACUAUUUAUAAGCUUUCACUGUUAGAUGAGCCUGCGUGAGAUUAGCUAGUUGGUAGGGUAAAGGCCUACCAAGGCGACGAUCUCUAGCUGGUCUGAGAGGAUGAUCAGCCACACUGGAACUGAGACACGGUCCAGACUCCUACGGGAGGCAGCAGUGAGGAAUUUUGCGCAAUGGGGGAAACCCUGACGCAGCAACGCCGCGUGAGCGAAGAAGGCCCUCGGGUCGUAAAGCUCUGUCAAGUGGGAAAAAAAUCUUUUGAUCAAUAGUCAAAAGACUUGAUGGUACCACUGGAGGAAGCACCGGCUAACUCCGUGCCAGCAGCCGCGGUAAUACGGAGGGUGCAAGCGUUGUUCGGAUUUACUGGGCGUAAAGAGCGUGUAGGCGGUUUAGCAAGUCAGAUGUGAAAGC
RNAcentral lists this ribosomal RNA (604 nucleotides) under uncultured bacterium. RNAcentral describes it as "bacterial SSU rRNA". It matches the Rfam family "Bacterial small subunit ribosomal RNA", at positions 8 to 601 of the family's 1533-position model. The record is from RNAcentral.